Brachypodium distachyon (stiff brome) is the source of this 339-nucleotide long non-coding RNA. RefSeq lists it as uncharacterized. The record is from RefSeq and is a predicted model, not a curated record. The transcript has 2 exons. Lineage: Eukaryota; Viridiplantae; Streptophyta; Magnoliopsida; Poales; Poaceae.
UGGGAAGCAAGUUGAAUUGACAUGUAUACAGUGCAACCUUUCUAUAUUUGUGUGCGGCUGCCUAUAUUCAGACUCUGAAUUUCAGAGGCAGAAGUAUAGCAUGAUUAAGAUUUGAGAUUAUCAGGAGCUUCCACAGGCUGCUGGCGCAAGGGACGGUGGUCUCGCAGGGCGCGGCAAGGAGCUCAGUUGGUGCCGUUGUCCGCGGCGACUUGCAGCGCGACGAUGUUCUUGAUUUCUGGCCUCUGUAUGCACAGAAGGUGUAUGUGUUUACCAUCUCCGACUGAGGCGACUGAGGAUCUGUACUUCUGAAAAUAUGAAACUCUGAAACCCAUUCUUUCA